GCUCACUUGGUAGAGCAUGGCACUUGCAAUGCCAGGGUUGUGGGUUUGAUUCCCAC
RNAcentral lists this transfer RNA (56 nucleotides) under Salmo salar (Atlantic salmon). It matches the Rfam family "tRNA", at positions 10 to 63 of the family's 71-position model. From Rfam's summary of the family: Transfer RNA (tRNA) molecules are approximately 80 nucleotides in length. Their secondary structure includes four short double-helical elements and three loops (D, anti-codon, and T loops). Further hydrogen bonds mediate the characteristic L-shaped molecular structure. tRNAs have two regions of fundamental functional importance: the anti-codon, which is responsible for specific mRNA codon recognition, and the 3' end, to which the tRNAs corresponding amino acid is attached (by aminoacyl-tRNA synthetases). tRNAs cope with the degeneracy of the genetic code in two manners: having more than one tRNA (with a specific anti-codon) for a particular amino acid; and 'wobble' base-pairing, i.e. permitting non-standard base-pairing at the 3rd anti-codon position. The record is from Rfam by way of RNAcentral. Lineage: Eukaryota; Metazoa; Chordata; Actinopteri; Salmoniformes; Salmonidae.